Micropterus dolomieu (smallmouth bass) is the source of this 313-nucleotide long non-coding RNA. RefSeq lists it as uncharacterized. Lineage: Eukaryota; Metazoa; Chordata; Actinopteri; Centrarchiformes; Centrarchidae. The record is from RefSeq and is a predicted model, not a curated record. The transcript is spliced from 2 exons.
AAGCCAUGUUUUAUGUGUGGUGGUGGAGUCUAUUUAAAGUGAACUUUACUGCACUUAACCAAUUACAAUUGUUUUAUAUGUUGUUUUUUUCUUUUAUUGCCAGAAACCACAGAAGAAAGAGGAGGUAGCAUGAUGUGGCCAUUGUGACGGCAGAAAAUUGUUUUCUUCUUAUACUUAAAGUCAUUUAUGAAACGGAUUUCCACGACAGCCAUCCCUGGCAUCUUGGUAAGAGGAGGAUAAAAAGAAGGAGAAGUAGGAGAGCAACGCAGAAAAUAAACCAAAAACAAUAAAAUAUACCUUUUAUAUUUCCACA